GAUGAACGCUGGCGGCGUGCCUAAUACAUGCAAGUAGAACGCUGAAGCUUGGUGCUUGCACCGAGCGGAUGAGUUGCGAACGGGUGAGUAACGCGUAGGUAACCUGCCUGGUAGCGGGGGAUAACUAUUGGAAACGAUAGCUAAUACCGCAUAAAAGUCGAUAUCGCAUGAUAUUGAUUUGAAAGGUGCAAUUGCAUCACUAAGAGAUGGACCUGCGUUGUAUUAGCUAGUUGGUGAGGUAACGGCUCACCAAGGCGACGAUACAUAGCCGACCUGAGAGGGUGAUCGGCCACACUGGGACUGAGACACGGCCCAGACUCCUACGGGAGGCAGCAGUAGGGAAUCUUCGGCAAUGGGGGCAACCCUGACCGAGCAACGCCGCGUGAGUGAAGAAGGUUUUCGGAUCGUAAAGCUCUGUUGUAAGAGAAGAACGAGUGUGAGAGUGGAAAGUUCACACUGUGACGGUAACUUACCAGAAAGGGACGGCUAACUACGUGCCAGCAGCCGCGGUAAUACGUAGGUCCCGAGCGUUAUCCGGAUUUAUUGGGCGUAAAGCGAGCGCAGGCGGUUAGAUAAGUCUGAAGUUAAAGGCUGUGGCUUAACCAUAGUACGCUUUGGAAACUGUUUAACUUGAGUGCAGAAGGGGAGAGUGGAAUUCCAUGUGUAGCGGUGAAAUGCGUAGAUAUAUGGAGGAACACCGGUGGCGAAAGCGGCUCUCUGGUCUGUAACUGACGCUGAGGCUCGAAAGCGUGGGGAGCAAACAGG
This 765-nucleotide ribosomal RNA is filed under the name uncultured Streptococcus sp. Its description in RNAcentral is "bacterial SSU rRNA". It matches the Rfam family "Bacterial small subunit ribosomal RNA", at positions 28 to 776 of the family's 1533-position model. Lineage: Bacteria; Bacillati; Bacillota; Bacilli; Lactobacillales; Streptococcaceae. The record is from RNAcentral.